RNAcentral lists this unclassified non-coding RNA (214 nucleotides) under plant metagenome. Its description in RNAcentral is "partial contains small subunit ribosomal RNA, internal transcribed spacer 1, and 5.8S ribosomal RNA". The record is from RNAcentral.
UUUCCGUAGGUGAACCUGCGGAAGGAUCAUUCAUAAUAAGUGUUUUAUGGCACUUUCUUUAAAUCCAUAUCCACCUUGUGUGCAAUGUCAGGGUUGAUUUUUCUCUCGAGAGGAUCAGCCCCAAACAUCAACUAUAUCUCAACUCUUUGUCUGAAAAAUAUUAUGAAUAAAACAAUUCAAAAUACAACUUUCAACAACGGAUCUCUUGGCUCUC